RNAcentral lists this ribosomal RNA (859 nucleotides) under Escherichia coli. RNAcentral's name for it is "partial 23S ribosomal RNA". It matches the Rfam family "Bacterial large subunit ribosomal RNA", at positions 1917 to 2775 of the family's 2925-position model. Lineage: Bacteria; Pseudomonadati; Pseudomonadota; Gammaproteobacteria; Enterobacterales; Enterobacteriaceae. RNAcentral also lists the same sequence under 1 other name. The record is from RNAcentral.
GCCCCGGUAAACGGCGGCCGUAACUAUAACGGUCCUAAGGUAGCGAAAUUCCUUGUCGGGUAAGUUCCGACCUGCACGAAUGGCGUAAUGAUGGCCAGGCUGUCUCCACCCGAGACUCAGUGAAAUUGAACUCGCUGUGAAGAUGCAGUGUACCCGCGGCAAGACGGAAAGACCCCGUGAACCUUUACUAUAGCUUGACACUGAACAUUGAGCCUUGAUGUGUAGGAUAGGUGGGAGGCUUUGAAGUGUGGACGCCAGUCUGCAUGGAGCCGACCUUGAAAUACCACCCUUUAAUGUUUGAUGUUCUAACGUUGGCCCGUAAUCCGGGUUGCGGACAGUGUCUGGUGGGUAGUUUGACUGGGGCGGUCUCCUCCUAAAGAGUAACGGAGGAGCACGAAGGUUGGCUAAUCCUGGUCGGACAUCAGGAGGUUAGUGCAAUGGCAUAAGCCAGCUUGACUGCGAGCGUGACGGCGCGAGCAGGUGCGAAAGCAGGUCAUAGUGAUCCGGUGGUUCUGAAUGGAAGGGCCAUCGCUCAACGGAUAAAAGGUACUCCGGGGAUAACAGGCUGAUACCGCCCAAGAGUUCAUAUCGACGGCGGUGUUUGGCACCUCGAUGUCGGCUCAUCACAUCCUGGGGCUGAAGUAGGUCCCAAGGGUAUGGCUGUUCGCCAUUUAAAGUGGUACGCGAGCUGGGUUUAGAACGUCGUGAGACAGUUCGGUCCCUAUCUGCCGUGGGCGCUGGAGAACUGAGGGGGGCUGCUCCUAGUACGAGAGGACCGGAGUGGACGCAUCACUGGUGUUCGGGUUGUCAUGCCAAUGGCACUGCCCGGUAGCUAAAUGCGGAAGAGAUAAGUGCUGAA